RNAcentral lists this long non-coding RNA (225 nucleotides) under Nicotiana benthamiana. RNAcentral's name for it is "long non-coding RNA (NBEN_LNC025651)". The record is from RNAcentral. Lineage: Eukaryota; Viridiplantae; Streptophyta; Magnoliopsida; Solanales; Solanaceae.
CUCUUAAAGGGUUAAGAAGAGGGACUCCCCUCGCGCCGUCGUCGUCGCUCGGCUUCGGAUUUGGAUUUGGUCAAAUGAUCUGAUUGAUUGAUAAUCUAUGGCCUUUCCCGAACAGGCACCAAGCCUUUCCGAACAGUCACAAUUUAUGAAAAUAUUGCUCCGAAAAAGCUGCAGACUGUCGUGCUCCGAAAAAGGAAAAGAAGAAGGGUCAGGCUAAUAUGGUUG